GGGCACAAUAUUCUGCAUUUAACAUUUGAACUUCUCCUAUCCGAGGCAGCAGGCCGUUUUGUCCUGGGGUCGCUGACCCUGGCUCCCCCAUCAGCUGCCCUGAAACCUUAAUUGAAUGACAGAUGGUCAUUUUCGGGGGCGCCAGAAGCUGCGGGCGGCCAGCGGCGCGGGGACUGCGGCCCCAGGCCCCGGCAGUCCUGCCCGGACUCUGCCAGCAAGGGGCGGGCGGCAGAGGUAGCAGGCGGCUUGCGGAGCUGGCCUAGCCUGCGGGCGCGACGGGAUCUGCGGGCGUCGGGCGAACGCGUGGCAACGAGCACCUGGAGGAAACCCCGGCGUAAGAGGCCGCGCGGGCGUUAGAUCACCAGCUGGGAGCUGUUUAUUUAUGGCUGCAAAUGUGUGUGUUCAAGAGAGAGAGGGAAUUGAUCUUUGCCUGGACUUAAAGAUGGAGCCGAAGAAGCUGGAGGGAAUUUGGGCUUGUGCGUCUGGCCCAGACCCUGUGCGCCGAGCCCGAGGUCUAUCCUCCCCGCACCUCUCACCUCGCGACCUUGCAGGAAUCCGCGGGCCCGGAUGCUGCCCAGCUGACCCUCCUGCCCCGGGCCUGGCUGCAGAGAAAGUCUUCGGGCAGGAGGCCAUCCUGUUCCUGUCUUUAAAAUGAGCACAAUAAAAGGGGGCAAAUCCUCGAACGCGAACCUGAUCUCAUGUCACAGAAGCAACUUGCCAUGAAAUCCGCUAAUGCGCUGCGACUCGCCCACCAGGGCAGCGUGCGGCGGCCGAACUGCACCUGCGUUUGUGAGCCUUGUAGAAAUGGAGCCCACCGGAUUCCCUCACCCGGAGAAAUGCCCAAACUGAAACUUGACUACACUUCCCUGGGCUGGUUCACGGUUUCAUAAUCUCCCAGGUUUGCUGGCUGUGUCACCAAAUCCAAGCCAAACCUGCUAUAAACAUGAUCACAGGCCACUGACCUCGCAGCACUGACCGAUAACUCGGUGGCAAAAUCAGCUCCUCUGGUCAGAGGUUAUUAAAGCAGCGGCUGAAUUCGUGUUUGUUUUUUUGAAGUGGUCAGAAAAACGUAGUCUUCUUAAACCUACAAAAACAGUCAAACACAUUUGCAAAUGUGCUUUACUUGUAUUGGUUCGAGUGCUGGAAGCUGUCUGGCGGUGAGCUUUUUCGUUGCGUGUGGUUUAUGCAGAGCACCCGGGAUGUUUUUCUCGUCUUUUACGUCUUGGUAUCUUUUAAAAAUGUAGAAUGUGUCUCUGAUUGUUUCACAGUAUGUUCCUUAACAACCAGAUAUGUAAGAAAACGUUUGGGAUUGAGUGGUGAGAAAAGCAGACUGGAAAGUACAAAUAAACCCAA
This 1353-nucleotide long non-coding RNA is filed under the name Homo sapiens (human). RNAcentral describes it as "non-protein coding lnc-ONECUT1-1:7". Lineage: Eukaryota; Metazoa; Chordata; Mammalia; Primates; Hominidae. The record is from RNAcentral.